UGACCCGUCUUGAAACACGGACCAAGGAGUUUAUCGUGUGCGCAAGUCAUUGGGUGUUGAAAACUCAAAGGCGCAAUGAAAGUAAAGAAUCCGCAAGGAUACGACGUGUGAUCUGAGCAAUCACGAUUGCCUGGAGCAACAUGGCCCCAUUCUGGUCGCUUGCGACGGGGUGGAGGAAGAGCGUACGCGGUGAGACCCGAAAGAUGGUGAACUAUUCCUGAGCAGGAUGAAGCCAGAGGAAACUCUGGUGGAAGUCCGAAGCGAUUCUGACGUGCAAAUCGAUCGUC
This 287-nucleotide ribosomal RNA is filed under the name Pratylenchus penetrans. RNAcentral describes it as "partial large subunit ribosomal RNA". It matches the Rfam family "Eukaryotic large subunit ribosomal RNA", at positions 645 to 906 of the family's 3401-position model. Lineage: Eukaryota; Metazoa; Nematoda; Chromadorea; Rhabditida; Pratylenchidae. The record is from RNAcentral.